This 475-nucleotide long non-coding RNA is filed under the name Sorghum bicolor (sorghum). RNAcentral describes it as "long non-coding RNA (SBIC_LNC001197)". The record is from RNAcentral. Lineage: Eukaryota; Viridiplantae; Streptophyta; Magnoliopsida; Poales; Poaceae.
UCAAAAACACAUUACAGCAAGAUGCAACUGAGCAACAAGCCAAGAAAAAAAUAAACGAUCCACAAUUUAACUGGUAGACAACAAACAAGCUAAGAAUAUAUCAAACCAUCCAUUGAUCCACAAUUUGUAAAGUUUAAAGCCAGCCCACUGCCCACCACAAGUCCAAGACCAUUACAUAAUUUAUCAUCCAUACAAAAUUCAUCAAAGAUUGGGCUGAGCCAAGGUCACCGCAUGGAGCAUGGGAUGCACGACCAUAUGGCCAUAUGGACCAAGCUAAUUUGAGUUUUGGCUUGUGAAUUUACUAGCUCAUACGAGCUAACGAGCUGCUCGCGAGCUAGCUCGAGCUGGCUCGUUAUAAAACGAGCUAGCUCAUUAUAAAACAAGCUGGCUUGUUAAGAAACGAGUCGGCUCGAGCCGAGCCAUUAACGAGCGAGUCGAGCGAGCUACCGAGUUUCGAGUUUUUCGUCCAGGCUUA